GCCACGAUUAGUAACUAAAAGUGUCCCCUUUUUGGUUAAAUGAAGAGAUUGUAAAGGAGCUGGACGUGCACGGUGAUAAAAGUGGAUUUACUUUAUCAAGAGCUAAGAUAGCCUAAUGUAGACAAUUUUCAUCAGAGAAGAAAAUUGGCUAUUUCAUGGGAGGCAUAUGGACUUUUAGUUAUUGACUGGGACAAACCUUUAGAGUUUCAAGAGUAAUUCCUAAAUUCCUGCUCUCAGAUAGGUAAAACGUCCAUGUGCCUUCAUUUUGCUACCGAUCUUGUUAGUCUAGCCAUUGGAACUAGUUUACUGAGACAUGUUCGUCUACUUUCUACUUGUAUGAUAUGCCAUUCUUGGGGGUUCCUAUCACAUUGUUACACCAUUUUCAAGGAAUCACAACUUAUGAAAAUGUUCUGGCAAUGAGGACAGAGUGAACCUCCUUGUCUCUGUCAAUGAUGAGUAGCAAAGCAUGCCAUCUUCCCCCAUGAGCUCUGCAUCAACUGCUUUCAGCGGGAGCUCGUUCGCCCGACAAUACAAGUUGCGUGGUGCACUCCACCAUGAUCUGUGUUGACUAGGUGUUUCUUUAUUUGGUGAUACUUCUAGGGCUUCAUAGUUUGCUAAUCAAUAUCAACUUUCUAGAGAGUGAAUUGUUUGGUUUUUAUGUAACUCUUACCGGAAACUCAUCAAUUUGGUGUGUUGUUUACUUUGCAAUGAAGGGGUUAUGCUUUCCACUUUAAUAAAUCUGAUCAGAAAAUGUGCAUGAUAUGUGUUCUUCCCGCCAUGAUCGUUUACAAUUCAAAUUGGAAAUUUGUCUCCUACUUGAGAAUGUUGUUCUGCCUAUAUCAGGCUCAUGUUUACGUGGCUAUCAUCUGCGGCCAUGAUCUACAAACGCAAAUAACUUUUGAAUUGUAGACAAGUCACAAGACAAUGUAGACAGACAGUGUUCUAUAUAAGUGAUUGUUCAGCGAGGUUCUGGCAUUCUAGUGUUUACUACUAGAUGAAUUUUUUGUAUGGCUGAAAGGAUAUCUCCUGUUAUGAUGCAUCAAUAAUAUUUGGUUCAAACCAUCUAGUAUCUUCCUUAAGUGUAUUUUUCUAUGACCAUAUCUACCUCCAUGUUCCUGCAAUACUACAUAACCCUAGAUGCAUAACUUCCAAUACUUUUCGUAUGGGUGCUGCACUGUUGUUGCAGGCCGAUAUGGUCUUCUUUCCUGAUGUGAUCUCCUCGUGCAGGUGCACAAGAGACUGCCGUGUAGUUUGAGCAGGGGAGAAGGCACCCAACAUCACCAGCAAGUCCGUCGGCCAUACACCGGCGCUCAAUGAGUGCCCUGCCCCUCCGGUGGCUUAUUCUUUGACUCCGACAUUGGUAAGCCACUGGUUUGUCAAGACGAUGUUGUUGCGGCUUGGUUAUGUGUUUGUGGGUGAGAUGAUGCCAGCCAACAUUUUGGUGUGAGAUUUUCUGCUGUCUUUCUGGAUCAUUAUAGAACAAGAUUUAUUAUGUGAAUCUGAAGCUAUGGAUCAUUUUGUGAUGCAAGUUCAUGAUGAUGUUUGUGUAGUGUUCUUGAUCUCACCCUCAGUGAUAAAUGCUGUGCAGUUUUGAGAAGUCACCAAGUUUGAGGCGGAGCUUGUGCAUUGCUGCGAGGAGCUGCUGGAGCAAAUCGAGCAUCCUGGGGCGAGACUAUGCUGAUCUUGAGAUUGUCUGCGUUGUCGUGCGACUUUGGUAAAGAGUUUCCUCGGUGGUGCCAAUUUUGUACAUGUAGCUAGUGUUGAAAUGAAAUGGCAAUCUGAAGAUUUGUACUAUAUAUUUUUUGUUUUCUUGGUCGUGCUGUAGCAAAUGAGAUUGUUGUCGAGGUGGUGUAAGUAAAUGGCUGGCUAGAUGCUUGGGAAACCUACUUACUAUAUAGGUGGUUUCCUGUUUCGUGGCUGAGCCGCCUAUCUAUGUAUAUGGCUCUAGUGUUGUGAUGUAAAUGAUCCAGAAUCUCAUUCCCCUGUGAUGGCACAUAAUUGUUUUAUCAUAUUCCGAGUUGUCACAUGAGUGAGCAUGCCCCAAAACAUCUUUCUUUCGUGUGCCCUCAUCUCUCUAUAAAUCUGGAUACAAUCC
RNAcentral lists this long non-coding RNA (2095 nucleotides) under Triticum aestivum (bread wheat). RNAcentral's name for it is "long non-coding RNA (TAES_LNC008067)". Lineage: Eukaryota; Viridiplantae; Streptophyta; Magnoliopsida; Poales; Poaceae. The record is from RNAcentral.